CCCUUAGAUGUCCGGGGCCGCACGCGCGCUACACUGAAGGAAUCAGCGUGGCUUUCUCCCUGACCCGAAAGGGUUGGGAAACCCGUUGAAUCUCCUUCGUGAUAGGGAUUGGGGCUUGAAAUUGUUCCCCAUGAACGAGGAAUUCCCAGUUAGCGCGAGUCAUAAGCUCGCGUUGAUUACGUCCCUGCCCUUUGUACACACCGCCCGUCGCUACUACCGAUUGAACGGUUUAGUGAGGGCCUCGGAUUGGUCUCGGCCCGCUCUUUACCGGGCGGCGCCGUUGGUCGAGAAGACGCUCGAACUUGAUCGUUUAGAGGAAGUAAAAGUCGUAACA
RNAcentral lists this ribosomal RNA (334 nucleotides) under uncultured eukaryote. RNAcentral describes it as "partial 18S ribosomal RNA". It matches the Rfam family "Eukaryotic small subunit ribosomal RNA", at positions 1470 to 1796 of the family's 1831-position model. The record is from RNAcentral.